GCUGGACAUGGUGGCGCACACCUGUGGUCCCAGCUACUCGGGAGGCUGAAGCGGGAUGAUGGCUUGAGCCCAGGAGGUCUGGGGUGCAGUGAGUGGAGAUCGCACCACUGCACCCCAGCCUGGGCAACAGAGCGAGACCCUGUUUCAA
This is an unclassified non-coding RNA of Pongo abelii (Sumatran orangutan), 148 nucleotides long. It matches the Rfam family "Metazoan signal recognition particle RNA". From Rfam's summary of the family: The signal recognition particle (SRP) is a universally conserved ribonucleoprotein. It is involved in the co-translational targeting of proteins to membranes. The eukaryotic SRP consists of a 300-nucleotide 7S RNA and six proteins: SRPs 72, 68, 54, 19, 14, and 9. Lineage: Eukaryota; Metazoa; Chordata; Mammalia; Primates; Hominidae. The record is from Ensembl.